Salarias fasciatus (jewelled blenny) is the source of this 98-nucleotide long non-coding RNA. RefSeq lists it as uncharacterized. The record is from RefSeq and is a predicted model, not a curated record. Lineage: Eukaryota; Metazoa; Chordata; Actinopteri; Blenniiformes; Blenniidae. The transcript is spliced from 3 exons.
GGGGGAAAAAGCAGGCUGUGGAUUCCCACUUAGGUAAUGUAAAUUACUUGCAAUUUAAUUUAAUUGUUCAGUCAAAUGUAAUUUCUAGCAACGCUGAA